GCUGUUAAGGGUUCGUAGUUGGGACAAGAGUCCCUCUCGGGAGCGCUUGCCCAGUUCGCCCCGCUCGCUAUCGAUGGAAGAGAGCCCCUGCGGAAAUCCCUUGUGGGUGGAUGCAACUCCGCUAUAUCGUGCUACGGGGUAUCCGUCGUAUCACUGUGAACAAAACAGUGUCCAAGGCGCCGUUGAUGGCUGAAUGCAAAAGCAUGGAAUGACGAGGGAUCGACCUUUGAGGCCAUCCUCUUGUUGGUUUUACGGCCCUAUGAGGGAAGAUUGGGUUGUAUGCCUCUGUGUGUUGUGUGCCGUCUUCCUCCGGUUCGGCGGACACAGGGCGCUUGAGCCUCGGCCCUAUUGGGAUCAGAGGGGCUGACGGGGGAAGCCGUAUCGGGAUGCGAGAGGUGAAAUUCCGUGACCAUCCCGGACGAACGUGUGCGAAGGCAGCUUCCAAGGAUGCCUUCAUUAAUCAAGAACCAAAGCGUGGGAUCGAAGAUGAUUAGAGACCAUUGUAGUCC
RNAcentral lists this ribosomal RNA (509 nucleotides) under uncultured kinetoplastid. Its description in RNAcentral is "bacterial SSU rRNA". It matches the Rfam family "Eukaryotic small subunit ribosomal RNA", at positions 615 to 1026 of the family's 1831-position model. Lineage: Eukaryota; Euglenozoa; Kinetoplastea. The record is from RNAcentral.